Non-coding RNA from Aerococcus christensenii, 73 nucleotides. The record is from Rfam. Lineage: Bacteria; Bacillati; Bacillota; Bacilli; Lactobacillales; Aerococcaceae.
GGAGAAUUAGCUCAGCUGGGAGAGCAUCUGCCUUACAAGCAGAGGGUCGGGGGUUCGAGCCCCUCAUUCUCCA